GGCCUUUUGUUAAUAAUUUAAGGUCUAGCCUGCCCUAUGAAAUUUUAAAUGGCCGCGGUAUUUUGACCGUGCAAAGGUAGCAUAAUAAUUAGUUUCUUAAUUAGAAGCUGGAAUGAAUGGUUGAAUGAAAAAAUUACUGUCUCUUUCUUAAUAUAUAAAAUUUUAUUUUUGAGUUAAAAAGCUUAAAUGUUAUUAAAAGACGAGAAGACCCUAUAGAGUUUUAUAUUUAAAUUUGUUUGUGGUUGUUAGAAUUUUAAAGAUUAAUUAAUUUAUUUAUUUGGUUGGGGCGAUUAAAAAAUUAAUAAAACUUUUUUUUUUUGUUACAUUGAUUUAUGAAUAGUUGAUCCAUUAUUAAUGAUUAAAAGAAAAAAUUACCUUAGGGAUAACAGCGUAAUUUUUCUGGAGAGUUCAUAUUGAAAGGAGAGUUUGCGACCUCGAUGUUGGAUUAAAAUAAAAUUCUGGUGCAAAGGCUAAAAGGUUAGGUCUGUUCAACCUUUAAAAUUU
RNAcentral lists this ribosomal RNA (504 nucleotides) under Chlorophorus simillimus. RNAcentral's name for it is "partial 16S ribosomal RNA". It matches the Rfam family "Bacterial large subunit ribosomal RNA", at positions 1819 to 2596 of the family's 2925-position model. Lineage: Eukaryota; Metazoa; Arthropoda; Insecta; Coleoptera; Cerambycidae. The record is from RNAcentral.